Molecule: transfer RNA, 71 nt
Filed under: Bos taurus (domestic cattle)
Lineage: Eukaryota; Metazoa; Chordata; Mammalia; Artiodactyla; Bovidae
Also listed under: 4 other names
Rfam family: tRNA
About the family: Transfer RNA (tRNA) molecules are approximately 80 nucleotides in length. Their secondary structure includes four short double-helical elements and three loops (D, anti-codon, and T loops).
Source: Rfam by way of RNAcentral
CCCUGGUGACUCAGACAGUAAAGAAUCUGCCUGUAAUGCAGGAGACCUGGGUUCGACUCCUGGAUCAGGAA